CUCCUUCUCUGCUUCCUGUCCUGAUGUCUUAUGGAGUUUUCCUGCGACUAAUACUAACAGGAUUUGUGUGGGUUUGGCUAAAAAGAAAAAACAACAAGCUCCUAAAGAAACUUGAGGAAGUGACUUUCACUGAGGUGACAAUUACAGCUCACAGUGCAGAGAGGGUUAAAAAGGAAGAAAAGUCCAGAAUAACAGAUGGUCAAGAGCUGAAUACCUUCGUGAUGUACUCAGCUGUGGAGACACUGACAUAAUUCAGUACAUACUUAUUUAUCAAAAAGAACUUUACAUGAUAAUUAAUCAAUUUCUUUUAUAGG
Long non-coding RNA from Tachysurus fulvidraco (yellow catfish), 314 nucleotides. RefSeq lists it as uncharacterized. The record is from RefSeq and is a predicted model, not a curated record. NCBI's taxonomy places the organism in Eukaryota, Metazoa, Chordata, Actinopteri, Siluriformes, Bagridae. The transcript is spliced from 3 exons.